RNAcentral lists this ribosomal RNA (407 nucleotides) under uncultured bacterium. Its description in RNAcentral is "partial 16S ribosomal RNA". It matches the Rfam family "Bacterial small subunit ribosomal RNA", at positions 28 to 526 of the family's 1533-position model. The record is from RNAcentral.
GACGAACGCUGGCGGCGUGCCUAAUACAUGCAAGUAGGACGCAGUUGCGAACGGGUGAGUAACGCGUAGGUAACUACCUAUUAGAGGGGGAUAACUAUUGGAAACGAUAGCUAAUACCGCAUACUAGUAGAUGGACCUGCGUUGUAUUAGCUAGUAGGUAGGGUAAUGGCCUACCUAGGCAACGAUACAUAGCCGACCUGGGGGGGUGAUCGGGCACACUGGGAAUUGGACACGGGCCAGACUCCCACCGGAGGCAGCAGGAGGGAAUCUUCGGCAAUGGGGGGAACCCUUACCGAGCAAAGCCGCGUGAUGGAAGAAGGUUUUCGGGGCGUAAAGCUCUGUUUUUCAGGAAGCGGUACUUACACAGAAAGGGCCGGCUAACUACGUGCCAGCAGCCGCGGUAAUUC